This 113-nucleotide small RNA is filed under the name Pectobacterium brasiliense. RNAcentral's name for it is "RtT sRNA". It matches the Rfam family "RtT RNA". Rfam says of the family: This family represents a bacterial cis-regulatory element known as RtT RNA. Lineage: Bacteria; Pseudomonadati; Pseudomonadota; Gammaproteobacteria; Enterobacterales; Pectobacteriaceae. The record is from RNAcentral.
AUAUCGCACGUGUCGUGUAGGUGAGAACCUGCGCUCAGGUUCGAGCCGAGCGAAGCGUGACAGCAACGCGUUAGCGUUGACCCCGAAAGCCGAGUGUCCUGUACGACUCGCCA